CAAAAACACAGCUAUGAAAGCUUAAUAUUUGAUGCAUCUGAUACAACAAUUCACUAUCAACUUCACUUGGUGUCUUACUGUCUUCACCUCUGCUUAGAAGUGUAAGGCACGAGUUAGCAUAACCUAGAAGUAGUGUCUAUCAUACAUCUCUUUACAAACAAGUAAUAUAUGUGGAUAAAAAGAAAAGAAAAGCAGGGGAACUCUCCAUGUGAGAAAAUAUCAACAUG
Molecule: unclassified non-coding RNA, 227 nt
Filed under: Hevea brasiliensis (rubber tree)
Lineage: Eukaryota; Viridiplantae; Streptophyta; Magnoliopsida; Malpighiales; Euphorbiaceae
Source: RNAcentral